Molecule: ribosomal RNA, 384 nt
Filed under: Tinaminyssus streptopeliae
Lineage: Eukaryota; Metazoa; Arthropoda; Arachnida; Mesostigmata; Rhinonyssidae
Description: partial 16S ribosomal RNA
Rfam family: Bacterial large subunit ribosomal RNA (bases 133-384)
Source: RNAcentral
UGGUAAUUUGACCAUGCAAAGGUAUUGAAAUAAGAUUUUAAUUGAGUGCUAAGAGAAUGGAUUGAUGGGGAAGUUCUUUUUUAUUUAAAAUAUUAAAAUUUUAAUAAAAGAUUAAAAUGUCUUUAUAGUUAAGUGGGACGAAAAGACCCUAGAAUCUUGUAUUUAUUUUAAAAAAUAAAUUUUUGUUGGGGCGACAUGGAAAUAUUAAAAAACUUUACAAAGAAUUAAAAAUUUUAAAUUUUGUUAAAGAUACUCUAGGGAUAACAGCGUUAUUAUUUUGGAUAGUUCAUAUUGAUAAAAUAGUUUGCGACCUCGAUGUUGAAUUAAUGAGUCUAUAAAGUGUAGUAGCUUUAUGUGAGAGAUUGCUCAUCUUUUAAAUCAUUA